AACCUUGUUGAAGAUUAACUUAAAACAACUUUGAUGAUGAUUGACAACUCGUGUUGGUCUACUUAGACCAUUCGUUUUUAGGCAUUCAGAAAUCAAAUAAUAUGGCUUGCCAAAAGUAUCUACAGUCGCACUUUUUGGAGGUCUGAGUAUUGCUAAAGACUUUGUGGCAAAGGCUGUAUCUGAGCUCAUUUGAUCAUGAUAGGCAAAAAGUUUCUUUUCAUCUUCAGGAUCUUCCAAGAUUGGUUCCAUUAAGGCUAAUUAGUCCCAAAUCACUUCCGCAUUAGAAAGAAACUUGGUUAUUGGUUGAACUUCACAUAGAGUAAGAAUUCCUAGAGCCCAGAAGUUGGCAUCGAUGAGAAAUGUCAGAGGCAGAGACAUGCUUGGGAAAGAAAUCUCAUACUUCUUUGGCAAUGGCAGAAUGAUGAAAAUGACUCUUUACAACAAGAAUAGUAGUGUCAUGAAACCAAGUGGACUCUUGGUUGGCGGCGUUAAGAUGUGAUUGCCAAUUGGAGUGUGGUACAAAACUUCCCAAUGGUUCAACUGAAAUGUAAAUUGUUCAGUCUCUUUGUUGUUUCAGAAAAGAGAAGAAUGUAAAUAGUUAGUCAUUUAUAAGAGUAAGCUUUUGAUGGACAUGAGUCCAUUUUGGAUGGGAUCAGGAACCUAUCUGCCCCUAUGUUAUUGUCGUUGUUCUUUGUUUCUUGUAAAUAUGAUUUAUUUAUUUAUUUAUUUUCUAGAAAAAUUGAUAUGGGUUUAUGAUUCUAGAUUAAUGAUGUAGUUAUGAUUCUACAUAUAAAAUCUUUGUUGUAACUUGGUACGGAGGAAAGUGAGGUAGCAUAAUAAAUUUGAAUAA
Carica papaya (papaya) is the source of this 850-nucleotide non-coding RNA. The record is from RefSeq and is a predicted model, not a curated record. NCBI's taxonomy places the organism in Eukaryota, Viridiplantae, Streptophyta, Magnoliopsida, Brassicales, Caricaceae.